RNAcentral lists this ribosomal RNA (159 nucleotides) under Lichtheimia corymbifera. RNAcentral's name for it is "partial 5.8S ribosomal RNA". The stretch from base 1 to 105 matches the Rfam family "5.8S ribosomal RNA", at positions 50 to 154 of the family's 154-position model. From Rfam's summary of the family: 5.8S ribosomal RNA (5.8S rRNA) is a component of the large subunit of the eukaryotic ribosome. It is transcribed by RNA polymerase I as part of the 45S precursor that also contains 18S and 28S rRNA. The record is from RNAcentral. Lineage: Eukaryota; Fungi; Mucoromycota; Mucoromycetes; Mucorales; Lichtheimiaceae.
AAAGUGCGAUAAUUAUUGCGACUUGCAUUCAUAGUGAAUCAUCGAGUUCUUGAACGCAUCUUGCGCCUAGUAGUCAAUCUACUAGGCACAGUUGUUUCAGUAUCUGCAUCCACCAAUCAACUUAACCUUUUGUGUUGAGUUGGAACUGGGCUUCUAGUU